UACGUAGGUGGCGAGCGUUAUCCGGAAUGAUUGGGCGUAAAGGGAGCGUAGGCGGACUUUUAAGUGAGAUGUGAAAUACUCGGGCUCAACUUGAGUGCUGCAUUUCAAACUGGAAGUCUAGAGUGCAGGAGAGGAGAAUGGAAUUCCUAGUGUAGCGGUGAAAUGCGUAGAGAUUAGGAAGAACACCAGUGGCGAAGGCGAUUCUCUGGACUGUAACUGACGCUGAGGCUCGAAAGCGUGGGGAGCAAACAGG
RNAcentral lists this ribosomal RNA (253 nucleotides) under uncultured bacterium. Its description in RNAcentral is "partial 16S ribosomal RNA". It matches the Rfam family "Bacterial small subunit ribosomal RNA", at positions 524 to 776 of the family's 1533-position model. The record is from RNAcentral.